GGGCCCGCACAAGCAGUGGAGUAUGUGGUUUAAUUCGAAGCAACGCGAAGAACCUUACCAGGUCUUGACAUCCAACGACCGCCUAAGAGAUUAGGCUUUCCUUCGGGACGUUGAGACAGGUGGUGCAUGGUUGUCGUCAGCUCGUGUCGUGAGAUGUUGGGUUAAGUCCCGCAACGAGCGCAACCCUUAUUACUAGUUACUACGCAAGAGGACUCUAGUGAGACUGCCGUUGACAAAACGGAGGAAGGUGGGGAUGACGUCAAAUCAUCAUGCCCUUUAUGACCUGGGCUACACACGUACUACAAUGGCUAUUAACAGAGAGAAGCAAGACCGCAAGGUGGAGCAAACCUCAGAAAAAUAGUCUCAGUUCGGAUUGGGGGCUGCAACCCGCCCCCAUGAAGCCGGAAUUGCUAGUAAUCGCGGAUCAGCAUGCCGCGGUGAAUACGUUCCCGGGCCUU
RNAcentral lists this ribosomal RNA (458 nucleotides) under uncultured bacterium. RNAcentral's name for it is "bacterial SSU rRNA". It matches the Rfam family "Bacterial small subunit ribosomal RNA", at positions 917 to 1382 of the family's 1533-position model. The record is from RNAcentral.